Molecule: long non-coding RNA, 565 nt
Organism: Molossus molossus (Pallas's mastiff bat)
Lineage: Eukaryota; Metazoa; Chordata; Mammalia; Chiroptera; Molossidae
Exons: 3
Source: RefSeq, a predicted model, not a curated record
CAUGCAUGGAGCAGGAAUGUAGAAGCUGCUGUAUCUAGACCCCAAGGGGCAGAGGUGAGACCCAAGCACUUGCCUAAGCAAGUGGCACAAGACAGAAACUGCCUCACUGUUUCCCAAUUCCUUACCUCCACCCUGAGGAGCAGAGAAGAGCUUUGGUGAUGACGGAACAGAAAGGGAAGGAGGAAGACAACUUCUACUUGACCUAGAGGUAUGCAGCAUCAAACUGCUGCUGGCUGAGAAGAGCACGGGCCCUUUGGAUUUAUGGAAGGAGCAUGGUGACCAUCUCAGUAUUAUAAACUGCCACUGAAAAUUUCCAUGACAACACAGUCGGAGGCUUUCUUGCUGGGCCCUGGCAUGUUGAUAAGUGCAAGCUUCUUUAUUCCUAUGGACUCUGAAAGAAAACAAACCUCCAAUGACAACACCUACUAGUAACUGGCUUCCUGUGAUGUUCCUUCGAUGGAGCUGGUUCCACAUAAGUCUUGAGGAUACACCCUUGUAAUGUAUUUUUAAAUUGUUGGCUAAAGGUCUAAGCUCCAAUUUAAUAGUAUCUCCUCAAUAAAGCCUU